UCCAUUCCUGUGUCAUUCUAGGCUUGACUGGGGGGGCUGUUUAGCCAAACAGUUAUGUCCCACCAUCAGACACUUCUCACAAUAUGAUGGCUUCAAAUCAUAUGAAACAUCUUGCAUAAAGCUCUUUCCAUUGGGAUCCAUCAGUUCAAUCUCACUUGGUAAUGCCUUUGAUACAUUCAACUCAAUUAGCAUACGAGCAUAAGAGACUCUACUUUGCUUUGUCGUGCAUUCAUCAGCAAAGAUGGGUUUCCCCAGCACACUUGCAGUUCUACUCAGUGACUUACUGCCCCAACAGGACAUAGGUUAAUUAGGGAAUUUAAUCCACAGGGGAAUUUCUGUUGGGAAAGCAUCUUUAAAAUCAAGAUCAACCGACCAUUGUUUCAAAAUCAUAGGCCUAUUAGCAAUUGAAUAUGGU
This 415-nucleotide long non-coding RNA is filed under the name Nicotiana benthamiana. RNAcentral describes it as "long non-coding RNA (NBEN_LNC031176)". The record is from RNAcentral. Lineage: Eukaryota; Viridiplantae; Streptophyta; Magnoliopsida; Solanales; Solanaceae.